CGUCCAGUAACUCCUAUCCCUACCUCCUCGUGGUGCCGCCUGGGAUACGAGUAAUCUUAGGGAAGAUUGGGUAACCAAUCCCUGUGGGACCUUGAUCGUAUGCUGACAGGGAAGG
RNAcentral lists this ribozyme (115 nucleotides) under Aedes aegypti (yellow fever mosquito). Its description in RNAcentral is "drz-agam-1 ribozyme". It matches the Rfam family "drz-agam-1 ribozyme". Lineage: Eukaryota; Metazoa; Arthropoda; Insecta; Diptera; Culicidae. The record is from Rfam by way of RNAcentral.